AUGGCGGGCACAAGAGCAGCAGCGAUGAAGCUGGCGGUCGUCCUCCUGGCCAUGAGCCAGCUCGUCCACAUGGCGACCCCGACGGCGGAUCCAAUGACUACUGCGUCAUCGUCUCUACUGGUUACGAGCGUCUCCGGCCCUUCCGACGGGGAACAUAAACCCAGCCAUGGCAUCAGGGAAGAGAAGGUGUUGCUCAACGCGCCCAACAUCCCUGCAGUUCCGCCCCCUCCCCACCUCGUCCUACCGUGCAAGGGAAGAGCGUGUUGA
RNAcentral lists this ribosomal RNA (267 nucleotides) under Triticum aestivum (bread wheat). Its description in RNAcentral is "partial small subunit ribosomal RNA". Lineage: Eukaryota; Viridiplantae; Streptophyta; Magnoliopsida; Poales; Poaceae. The record is from RNAcentral.